GGUUUCUCUGUGUAGUCCUGGCUGUUCUGGAACUCACUCUGUACACCAGGUUGGCCUCAAACUGGCAGAGAUCUGCUCGCCUCUGCCUCUACUCUGCCUCCCAGUGCUGGGGUUAAAGACUAAACUCCCCGGUAGCCCGGCUGUUUCUGCCAUUCACCCAUCCAGCGUCCUUCCCCUCUGCUCUGUGUAUGGAAGGUGCCCAUUGUGAGACCACAGCUGCUGAGCUCCGGUGAGGGGCCAGAGAGUCUGAGCGACGACAGAAGUCACCGCGUCUCUCCCUCUGCAAGACAGCUGGCUCUUGAUAAUGCAACACACCAGGCCUGCAGUAAUAUUGCCUGAGUGCUAGCAAUCAUUAAUGUCUUUUAAGUGAUCUUGGUGGUGGUCUCUGUAAUAGACUGUAACAAACUCGCUCAUAUAUGAUAGAAAAUAAAGUUUGAUUGUGAAACGUA
Peromyscus maniculatus bairdii (prairie deer mouse) is the source of this 449-nucleotide non-coding RNA. The record is from RefSeq and is a predicted model, not a curated record. Lineage: Eukaryota; Metazoa; Chordata; Mammalia; Rodentia; Cricetidae.